RNAcentral lists this ribosomal RNA (501 nucleotides) under uncultured bacterium. Its description in RNAcentral is "partial 16S ribosomal RNA". It matches the Rfam family "Bacterial small subunit ribosomal RNA", at positions 30 to 523 of the family's 1533-position model. The record is from RNAcentral.
AUUGAACGCUGGCGGCAGGCUUAACACAUGCAAGUCGAGCGGGGGAAGGUAGCUUGCUACCGGACCUAGCGGCGGACGGGUGAGUAAUGCUUAGGAAUCUGCCUAUUAGUGGGGGACAACAUCUCGAAAGGGAUGCUAAUACCGCAUACGUCCUACGGGAGAAAGCAGGGGAUCUUCGGACCUUGCGCUAAUAGAUGAGCCUAAGUCGGAUUAGCUAGUUGGUGGGGUAAAGGCCUACCAAGGCGACGAUCUGUAGCGGGUCUGAGAGGAUGAUCCGCCACACUGGGACUGAGACACGGCCCAGACUCCUACGGGAGGGAGCAGUGGGGAAUAUUGGACAAUGGGGGGAACCCUGACCCAGCCAUGCCGCGUGUGUGAAGAAGGCCUUAUGGUUGUAAAGCACUUUAAGCGAGGAGGAGGCUACUUUAGUUAAUACCUAGAGAUAGUGGACGUUACUCGCAGAAUAAGCACCGGCUAACUCUGUGCCAGCAGCCGCCGUAA